GGUUGAUCCUGCCGGACCCCACUGCUAUCGGGAUAGGACUAAGACAUGCUAGUCGUGUGCCUCAGCCAAAACGAGGCACGGCGUACAGCUCAGUAACACGUGGCUAACCUGCCCUUGGGACGAUGAUAACCCCGGGAAACUGGGGCUAAUCCUCGAUAGGUGAAGAACUCUGGAAUGAGUCUUUACCUAAAAGAGUCUGCGUUAUGCUCGUAGAUUUCGCCCAAGGAUGGGGCCGCGACCGAUCAGGUUGUUGGUGAGGUAAUGGCUCACCAAGCCUUUUACCGGUGCGGGC
RNAcentral lists this ribosomal RNA (292 nucleotides) under uncultured eukaryote. Its description in RNAcentral is "partial 18S ribosomal RNA". It matches the Rfam family "Archaeal small subunit ribosomal RNA", at positions 6 to 274 of the family's 1478-position model. The record is from RNAcentral.